RNAcentral lists this unclassified non-coding RNA (378 nucleotides) under plant metagenome. RNAcentral describes it as "partial contains 5.8S ribosomal RNA, internal transcribed spacer 2, and large subunit ribosomal RNA". The stretch from base 1 to 105 matches the Rfam family "5.8S ribosomal RNA", at positions 50 to 154 of the family's 154-position model. The record is from RNAcentral.
GAAAUGCGAUAAGUAAUGUGAAUUGCAGAAUUCAGUGAAUCAUCGAAUCUUUGAACGCACCUUGCGCUCCUUGAUAUUCCUUGGAGCAUGCCUGUUUGAGUAUCAUGAAAUCUUCAAAGUAAAUCUUUUGUUAACUCAAUUGGUUUCUACUUUGGUAUUGGAGGUCUUUGCAGCUUCACACCUGCUCCUCUUUGUUCAUUAGCUGGAUCUCAGUGUUAUGCUUGGUUCCACUCGGCGUGAUAAGUUAUCUAUCGCUGAGGACACUGUAAAAGGUGGCCAAGGUAAAUGCAGAUGAACCGCUUCUAAUAGUCCAUUGACUUGGACAAUACUUUUAUGAUCUGAUCUCAAAUCAGGUAGGACUACCCGCUGAACUUAAGC